Molecule: ribosomal RNA, 1384 nt
Filed under: Cacatuocotyle sp.
Lineage: Eukaryota; Metazoa; Platyhelminthes; Monogenea; Dactylogyridea; Dactylogyridae
Description: partial large subunit ribosomal RNA
Rfam family: Eukaryotic large subunit ribosomal RNA
Source: RNAcentral
GGGCAAUGUGGUGUUAAGGUAUGCACCUUUGUUGCGCUCUACUACUUGAAGUCCAACUCCGAUUAUGGCUUUGGAUCUGUCCCGCAGAGGGUGAGAGGCCCGUUCAAGUAGUUGGAGUGCUGCUUAGAUGUGCAUGCCAUGGAGUCGGAUUGCUUGAGAAUGCAGUCCAAAGCGGGUGGUAAACUCCAUCCAAGGCUAAAUACUGGCACGAGUCCGAUAGUAAACAAGUACCGUGAGGGAAAGUUGAAAAGUACUCUGAAGAGAGAGUAAAUAGUACGUGAAGCCGCUUGCAGGGAAGCUGGUGGAGUCAAGCUUCAUGCCUGAAUGAUUGGUAACGAGAGUUGUUUGUAUAUUGCACUACUGGCUGGUGGAUCUGGAAACGUUCCGUCGGGUUCAUGCCUGGCUCGAGUGUUCCGGUGAGUGUACUUUGGCUGGCCACCUAGUGUUCUCUCUUACAUUCUAUCAUAAGGCAGCCACCACGGUUGAUGCACCAAUGGUGCAUGGGACUUGAACUGUGUCUAUAUGGAUCAUUGGUCUGUUGGAUGCAGCAUGGUAGAACGUGUCACAGCUUGGCUUGCUCAGGCUUUUGGCACUUAUCACGGCUUCGCCGACUGGGUCUCAUGCAGUGUGUUUUUUUACUAUUUGGUGCAUCAUGCAACUUCGUGCUGUCUCCAUAUUCAUUGGUGGCAGUAUGUGAGAGCCGUGGUGUUGAAGUAGACCUUCCACCCGACCCGUCUUGAAACACGGACCAAGGAGUUUAACAUGAGCGCAAGUCAAUGGGAGUGUACGAAACCCAGAGGCGUAAUGAAAGUGAAAGGAAGCCUUGUCGCCUCCUUAGGUGUGAUCCUGUCUGACCUUUACAAGGGCUGAUUGGCGCAACACCGGCCCGUCUCAAUUUGUAGUCACUUGAACCAAGGUCUGAGUGCGUCAAAGAGGCGGUGCAAGAGCGUUCAUGUUGAGACCCGAAAGAUGGUGAACUAUGCUUGCGUAGGUCGAAGCCAGAGGAAACUCUGGUGGAGGACCGUCGCGGUUUUGACGUGCAAAUCGAUCGUCAAACGUGAGCAUAGGGGCGAAAGACUAAUCGAACCAUCUAGUAGCUGGUUCCCUCCGAAGUUUCCCUCAGGAUAGCUGGCAAUCGUUUCGCUCAACAGUUUUAUCCGAUAAAGCGAAUGAUUAGAGGUAUUGGGGACUAAUUGUCCUCAACCUAUUCUCAAACUAUAAAUGGGUACGAUGCUGGACUCGCUUAAUUGGAGUCUAGCAUUGAAUGUGAUUGCCAAGUGGGCCAUUUUUGGUAAGCAGAACGGCGCUGUGGGAUGCUCCGAACGUGCAGUUAAGGUGCCCAAUGCAGACGCUCAUGAGACACCAAAAAAGGUGUUAAUGCAUA